GGGGAUAUUGCACAAUGGGGGAAACCCUGAUGCAGCGACGCCGCGUGGGCGAAGAAGUAUUUCGGUAUGUAAAGCCCUAUCAGCAGGGAAGAAGAAAUGACGGUACCUGAGUAAGAAGCACCGGCUAAAUACGUGCCAGCAGCCGCGGUAAUACGUAUGGGGCAAGCGUUAUCCGGAUUUACUGGGUGUAAAGGGAGCGUAGGCGGCCUGGCAAGCCUGAUGUGAAAUACCGGGGCCCAACCCCGGGGCUGCAUUGGGAACUGCCAGGCUGGAGUGCCGGAGAGGCAGGCGGAAUUCCUAGUGUAGCGGUGAAAUGCGUAGAUAUUAGGAGGAACACCAGUGGCGAAGGCGGCCUGCUGGACGGUGACUGACGCUGAGGCUCGAAAGCGUGGGGAGCAAACAG
Molecule: ribosomal RNA, 403 nt
Filed under: uncultured bacterium
Lineage: Bacteria
Description: bacterial SSU rRNA
Rfam family: Bacterial small subunit ribosomal RNA
Source: RNAcentral